This 1860-nucleotide long non-coding RNA is filed under the name Marmota monax (woodchuck). Lineage: Eukaryota; Metazoa; Chordata; Mammalia; Rodentia; Sciuridae. The record is from RNAcentral.
AACAGGAAGAGAGAAUUUUCAUAUACAUGAGGCCUGAAAUCGGUAAGUGUCAUUUCUACUCUGAGUCCAGUGGUCAGACAUCAAUCACCUAACUGUAAUGCAGUCUGGGAAAAGCAGACCAUAAAUGUGAAACUGAAAAAUUAAAUGGAAUUUGAUUAACACACACACUAUUUGCCAGAGUAUCACAGCAUCAUUUAACUACUGACAGAAAUUCUUCCAACUCAGCUAUUCUGUCUACUAUGAAAUUCCUUUUUGUAUUUUAUCCUACUUGAAAUGUUGACAUUGCUAGUGAAAUCAAGGUGUCACAUCAAGUGUAACAGUCAUUCUCAGCCUAAAGAGAAAAGCCACUAAAAUAUUUUUAAAUAAUGCUUUCCUGCUUUGCUCAAUUUCUUAUUGAAAGUAGCAUCUUCUGGCCCUAUCAUCAGACAUAGAUAGGAACAGAUGAGUACACAAUGUACAACAAGUACACUCCAACAUUCUCUUUUCCAUGCCUCUUUAGAUUCUGCCUCUGUAUCACAUUAAGUAAUCUCAUAGAAACUUUGCUUAGUGUGAUCCAUAAGGACACCAUAUUCAGUCAAUCAGCUAAAGCAAAACAUUAGAAUCCAGCUGCAUGAUAUAAUGCAGUGAAUUUAGAAUCUCUCUUGUAUGCACAAAUAUUCAUAAAUUAUCUCUUUAUUAAUUUAACAAUUUAUUAUUAACCAUUUUCCAUGUUUCUGACGAUGUCUUAGGUAUUGGGAAUAACUGCACAGAACAAAAUAAAACAAACUUGUCUUCAAGGAACUUGAAUUCUUACUGGAAAGACAAAUGAAGGUCAAGCAAAAAUAUCUAAAGAAUUUGAGGGAGUAAACAAAGGAAAUAUCCGAGGGUAGAGUUUUCCAGGCAGAGGGGAUAACAAAUGCAAUGGUUCAGAGUUGAAAUAAUACCUGACAAAUGUAACUAAAAUCAUGCUCUUUCCCACUUAAUCUAAUAACCUCAGAAACUAGUCUCACACAUAUUCUUGAGAUUAUUUCCAGGGCAGCAAAUACGUUGAAGUAGCAGGAUUUGUAGGGUGCAAUAUAUAAGAAUAUUUUUUAUUCCUGCUUCCUAUCCACACUUGAAUUUUGGAACUAGUUCUCCUUUCACUUGGGUGAAAUCUAGGAUAUGUCCCAUGACAUUUUUGCUUGUAAAAAAUUGCUUGUAAAGUAAUCCUCCUGUCAACCCUAGUCAUGAAACAGUUUCCACUCAAAGGGCAGAGAGAAAAUGGGAAGAAAUUAAAAUCUUAUAUAACGGGAUACUACUGUUAUGUUCAUCUAGUAUUGACAUUUUUCAGGCUGGGGUAGUAUUUAAAGUUGACCUUGUAUGUGACAUCUUUAAAGAUUCUUAGGAAGUCCUCAUUGUUGAGGAUCUCUCACAUGCUCUUCUCUUGAAAUGUAUUAAUACACAUAUUUGGACAAGUCACUUUUGACUCUGUUAGCCUUUAAGUUUCCAGCAGCAUAACUCCAGAUUGUUUUUAUUAAUGUUUCCUUGAUCAUCCAGAAGACCAUCAUAAUCUAGAUUUAUGACAUCCCAAAAUAGUUCUAAUCUCCUUUUUGGCCCUGUCAUAUAUAUGGGAGUGAUUCACACAUCCUUUGCCCAAUAUGAUUCCCAAAUUCAAACUGUCUUCAGUUUGGUGUCACAGUGAAGUAGUUGAUCAGCCAGUCUUAUAUCUUUUAGAUUUCACAGGGAUGACUCAAAUACCUACUAUGGUACCCAUUUCCAGGACCUCCAAAAGAUCCUAUUGAAGUUUAUUGCCCUAGGUUUGAGGUGACAACAAGAACUCCUAUUCCUCCAUCUUCUUUUGGGGCAUUAAGGGAAUACCAGCAGCUCAUUAGAAAUCUUCUU